Molecule: RNA transcript, 2814 nt
Organism: Eucalyptus grandis
Lineage: Eukaryota; Viridiplantae; Streptophyta; Magnoliopsida; Myrtales; Myrtaceae
Gene name: heat stress transcription factor A-3
Exons: 3
Source: RefSeq, a predicted model, not a curated record
ACAAAACACGACACAAAUCUUAACGGGCGUAACUACCAGGAAGCUUUCCCCAGGAUUCAGCUCGAGGUCGGUGCCCCUCUCCCUCUGUCUCCGUCUCCCCUAUUCAAUUCGGAAGCAACGCAACACGCGAAAACCGGAAGCCCCACCACCCCGAAUGGACCGAUCCGUCGCUCUCAGCCGUCGAUUCCCGCGCAGCGACCCUUCACCGCCUUACUGUUUCUGCUGGGAUUUUUCUCGAGCACCUUGUCGGCAUAAGCCCCCCAAACCCAUAUAAGCUCCCCUGCACCUCCACUCCCCGACCAUUUUACGCAUUUUUUCGCUCAGUCUCUCUCUGUUUCUGUCUCUGUAUUUUGUCUCUCUCUCUCUCUCUCUCUCUCUCUCUCUCUCUCUCUCUAGUGCUUCUCGCUGAGAGAGGUGAAAAAUUCGAUGAACCCAGAAGAGGAGCGAUGCCCGAAAUCUCCUCCCGGUUCUUCUGACCGCGGGAGAGGUAAAGGCAAGGCUCCUGCCGGUGCCGGGUCGUCUUCUUCGGCCGCGUUGCAGCCCGAAACGCCGUCGUUCGUGAUGGGUUCGGAGGCAUUGCCUUCUGGGUCGUUCUUCGAUAUGGAGAGCAUUGGCCUCUCCGGGUCUCCUUUGCCUCUCAUGGAGUUCGAGGCGUUCUCUCCUUUGAACACGUCCUCGUCGUUCGACUUGUUUUUCGAGGUGAAACCGGAACCUGUUCUCGAAACGACCCGUCCUCUCGGGCCUCCGUUUGGUGCUGGUGCAGCGGAAACAGAGGAGGCAGGAUUUCCGGCGAGAGGCGGUGACAUGGAGACUACUGUCGGUGCUCCUCAGCCUCUGGAGCGCCUACAGGGUACGCCAGUCCCACCGUUUCUUUCGAAGACCUUCGAUUUGGUCGAUGACCGAUCGUUGGAUCCAAUCAUAUCGUGGGGGUCGAGCGGCGAGAGCUUCGUGGUGUGGGACCCUGUUGAAUUUGCCAGGAGUGUACUCCCAAGGAACUUCAAGCACGGCAAUUUUUCCAGUUUUGUUCGGCAGCUAAAUACUUAUGGGUUCCGCAAGAUUGACACUGAUAGAUGGGAGUUUGCUAAUGAAGCUUUUCAGAGAGGGAAGAGGCAACUUCUAAAGAACAUUCAAAGACGUAAGUCGACUCAGACACAGCAGAUUGGAAGCUACUUUGGACCUUCCAGUGAAGCAGUGAAUCCUGGGUUGGAAUUUGAAGUGGAGAUGUUAAAGAAGGAGAAGAGUAUGUUGAUGCAGGAGGUAGUUGAACUGCAGCAGCAGCACUGUGGAACAGCUCAACAUGCAGAAGCAGUACAUCAGAGACUUCAAGCUGCUGAGCAAAGACAAAAGCAGAUGGUUUCGUUCAUGGCAAAAUUGCUUCAAAACCCAUCCUUUGUAGCGCACUUGAGGGAAAAAAAGGAACAGAGAGAAAUCGGUUCUUCAAGGGUGAGGAGGAAGUUUCUCAAGCAUCAUCAGCCAGAGGAUGUUGAAGCAGUCGCGUCUAGGGAAGGGCAGAUAGUCAAGCACAAACAUGAUAUGGGGACUCUUGAUGCAUCUUCUGGAUCUCCUAUUUUGAAUCCUAUUCCUGUCGAAAACCCUAAACAUCUCCCUGAAGCUUCAACUGGCACAGGUUUAGGUGAAGAGAAGAUUCCGCCUCAAGUUGAGGAUGUCCUGUCAAGAGAAGCAAGGAUACCACAUGAUAUAGCAUCUGUACAGGGCUAUCUCAAAACUCGGGAUCUGCUUAGAGAGGGGUCAUCAAGCUUGGGAGCUGAUCCCCAACUCAAGGGGAAGAGUGUCAGUGAGAGCUCAGGGCAAGAGUUCACUCCUCAUUACUUUGUCUCUUUCCCAGAGGAAUCGGCAGAGAUGAAGGACUUUCCAGAUUUCUCGUCAGGGUUCGAAAGCAUGAUUAAGCAAGAAGAGGUAUGGGGCAUGGGUUUUGACGUGAGUGCUGGUAUGUCUAGUUCUAGUGGUGUGGAAUGGGGUAGUCUUGCUCAAUAUGAUGCACUGGAAGUGGGAGUCACUGGUGGGCUAUCUGAUAUAUGGGAUUUAAGAUCAAUGCAAGCAUCUGGGCGUUCAGACAUUGAUAAGUGGCCGGCUGAUGAAGCAACCCGUGAUGAGCAUGAGGGUCAAGCUGGCCAGCAUAAAGAUGAUAUACAUAGGGAAAUGGAUCCAUAGGUUGCCCUUUAUGUUGCCAAUUGAUGAUUAUAUGGAUUUUAGUAAUUGUUAGUUGAUGGCGUCUAUGCUCCUAGAUGAAAAGUAUAGACACUUAUUGAUUAGUAAAAGCUUCCAUUCUUGAUUGAUUCGAGUCUUGGUUCUCAGCAAGGUUUCUGGUUCAGCUGAUUUGCUAAUACAAGUUUAUGUCCUUAUGAGCUGCACUAGAGUUGCAGGGCUUUCCUUGGCUCACAAUGUCCUUUUCUUUUGAGUUGUGAAAUUGCAGGUACCUGACCUUGGAUGGAGAUGGACACUUCCAUGGGAGUUUGGUUGCUUUUCUGAACCUGGACUGCAGGGUAAUGGUUCACAAACUUGGUUCUGAUGAAGGUGAGCUUCAAUCUAUACAAAUCUCUUUAUCAGAAUCUGUGUCAUGGUGCAUGUGCAACCGCAUCAACGAAGAUCAUCCCUAUUUGGCCCACCUUUGAGCAUGGCACUUUACUCGCCCACCAUCCUUUAGAUACAUAUUUUUCGUGUAGCUUGAUGGAGAGCGAAAAAUGCAGUCCGCAUGCAUACUCACUAUAUUCAGUAUGAAUUUAUUUGGACUUGCCUUCUAACCGAUCCACUUGUAGUUGAUUCUUGAGUCAGUUAUGAAGCUAUCGACGGUGA